GCCUUCGUGGUGUAAUGGUAACACACUCGGCGCGUAUUCGAGAGGUCCAGAUUCAAGUCCCGGUGAGGGCA
This is a non-coding RNA of Stegodyphus mimosarum, 71 nucleotides long. The record is from Rfam. NCBI's taxonomy places the organism in Eukaryota, Metazoa, Arthropoda, Arachnida, Araneae, Eresidae.